AGAUCGGUUCUGCUGCCCCCAAUGGGAAGAGAAGAGGCUGUUGUGUUUCUACUCUGCAUAGAAGGCUCCAACUGGCACACAUAGGAAAGGGGAUUCGUGUUGGUCUGUUUGUGGGGUUCCUGCCUUGGCGAGUGUCUCCGGAAGUCAGAUGGGUCCUCAGGAGUUAGGAAACAUGCUGGGAAGUCCUUGCUGCUCUUCCCUUUGCCUACAGCAAGAGGGGCAGCUAUGCAAGCCCUAGUCUGUGUUGAGGAACAUUUGCCUACCUCGAGCCCUAACCACCAUAAAGACAGAGUCAUCUUUUUUCUACCCUCUCAAGCCACUUUUGUACCAGCUUAUGAGCCUCCUGUGCUCACCCUAGAGAGCCCUCUGGUAUGAGCAACCAACGUUUCCAUGCAUUCUUGGUGCAUGUAUGGCCUCCAGUCUUAGCCUUUAAAGCAAAUGUUGGACUUAGGGAUCCAUUCCAACAAUUCCUGAUGACUACAACAGCCCCCAGAGAUAGCAUGGCAGGACCCAACGUUGUGCAGAACUUUGAACAAAUCAUGCACUCACCCACUGAUAUCUGAAUUGCUUGGCUUUUUAUAUACUUUACAAGAACAAUGCAGUUUCUUUGGCUGCUCUUUCCUUAGUUGCAGUCCACAUGGAAUGUUCUGGUAUCUCUGUGGCUGGAAGUGACUACAUUGACUAUGGAGCACCAUAGGAUUUGCUUAUCACUCUUCUUAACAGCUUACUAUGUGAUUCAUUGUGCUGUAAUCUGUGAGUACACUGCAGGGGAAGGGGCGCAAUGGAAGUAUGCUCACUGUGCAACAAUGCCUUCCACAAAUCCAGCUUCACCAAAUGGGGAAUGAAUCAACUUUGGCCCAAUGCAAAGAAAAUAAUUCUGAAAUCAACUCCUAAGAUGGAAUUCCUGUAGACUCAUGGCCCGAAGACAGAGGGGCAUCUUUCUGACAGCCACACGGGAUGGGUUUCUACAAAGAGCCUCUCAAGAGCUUGGAGAAGGAGUAGACACAAAUACAGCCUAAAUACAGGAACUGGUAUAGGAGAACAGAAAAUGCCAUUGUAAAAUAAGACCAAAAAAGCCCAAAAAACCAAAAAUGGUCCCUACAUUCAGCCCCCGUUCCACCACUGGAGACCAG
Heterocephalus glaber (naked mole-rat) is the source of this 1133-nucleotide long non-coding RNA. NCBI's taxonomy places the organism in Eukaryota, Metazoa, Chordata, Mammalia, Rodentia, Bathyergidae. The record is from Ensembl.